This is a long non-coding RNA of Cherax quadricarinatus, 853 nucleotides long. RefSeq lists it as uncharacterized. NCBI's taxonomy places the organism in Eukaryota, Metazoa, Arthropoda, Malacostraca, Decapoda, Parastacidae. The record is from RefSeq and is a predicted model, not a curated record.
GCCUCCACCAGAGUGAUGACGUCGAUGGAUACGUCACUCUAUUUCAUGCUCAUUGUUUCUUGUCACACCAUGUGGGGAGUUUUCCUCCACCCUACAGCACCUCCCCUCCCUCCAAUAUCACCCUCCACCUUACCCUCCCUCCCCCCCAACACACCCCAGGCACGGCUAACUGCUGUCAUUUGGAUGACGUGGACAAGUGUAGGUGCACCAUGGUGGUGGUGGUGACAUGGCAGAGCAGAGCAGAGAUCAAACAAACUGUGCCAUUACCAUGAGAGUCUGGUAAACAGAAAUGUCCGCAGUGUAUAGUUCUGCAAGCCUAAGGGACUGAUUACCUCAUCUUCGACUAUCAUUGUAUUCCAUCUCUGUAUACACUCUGACACAAAACGCGUGUCUGACGGUGUGGCCUGCCCGUAUAGAGGAUAGGACACUGGAGCGUGGACGGGAAGGCAUCCUACGAUAGACGGAAGGACACCACAGGAUAGAAGAGCCGAUGGCUGGCUUAUACGAAGUCCUACAGCUGGUUUUCUCAUAGCUAAAGGAGAUUUAAACCCUGGGAUGCUCCAGGCCUAUUCUUGGGAGUGGUUGGUAUUGUGUUUAAUAUCGGUAUUACUGGUUUAUAUUACAAUAUUACUGUUGUAUAAUAUUGGCAUUAUUUGUGUGUGUAAUACUAAUGACGAUUGUGUGUGUUUUUGUGUAUGUGUAAUGCUGAUAUUACCGGAGUUCCGUUAAUAUUGAUCUAAUAAAUGCUGGAAUUAUUGUCGUUUGGAAUUAUUUUUUUCGUGUUAUUCACCGUUAUCACUAUUAUAAUUACUGUUAUUAUCACUGCUGUUAUCACUGAUAUUAUUACUGCUGU